Molecule: ribosomal RNA, 460 nt
Filed under: uncultured bacterium
Lineage: Bacteria
Description: partial 16S ribosomal RNA
Rfam family: Bacterial small subunit ribosomal RNA
Source: RNAcentral
CCUACGGGAGGCAGCAGUGAGGAAUAUUGGUCAAUGGUCGGGAGCCUGAACCAGCCAAGCAGCGUGAAGGAGGAAUGUACAGAGGAUCGUAAACCUCUUUUGUCAAGGAAUAAAGGGGGGCACGUGUGCCCUUUUGUGUGUACUUUAUGAAUAAGGAUCGGCUAACUCCGUGCCAGCAGCCGCGGUAAUACGGAGGAUCCGAGCGUUAUCCGGAUUUAUUGGGUUUAAAGGGAGCGUAGAUGGGUUGUUAAGUCAGUUGUGAAAGUUUGGGGCUCAACCAUACAAUUGCCAUUGAGACUGGCAUUCUUGAGUACAGUGGAAGUACGCGGAAUGCGUGGUGUAGCGGUGAAAUGCUUAGAUAUCACGCAGAACUCCGAUUGAGAAGGCAGCUUACUAACCUGCCACUGACAUUGAUGCUCGAAAGUGUGGGUAUCAAACAGGAUUAGAUACCCGAGUAGUC